GUUCACCGUGUUAUCAGGCCGAGUUACUAAUGUUACUAAAGCUAAUUCAUUUGACUAUCACAUUCAAAAUAUCUAUGCUUUGUUUGUUUAGUAUAUCUGUUUUUGAUGAUCUUCUUGAAGUGGUCAGAGGGGAGAUUUGGUUACUCGGUACGUGAGGCCAACAUUUCGUGGGGGAAAACUAAAUGGAGCACAUUGGUUCUGCAACUAGAUCAUAGCACAUGGGUUCUUGAGUACAGUCUAAGCUUUAGAUAACUCAACUUCAUCAAAGGUUCUUCAAUUGACACGUCAGACACGGUUGUUUUCGGCUUACAAAUAAUUAUCAGUCCAAUAAUUAUCAAUCCAGCCACGUCUGUUUGUUUCCAGUGAACUAAUGACCCAUUAUGUAAUUUGGUUGCAGGUCCAGACAAGAAGCUCUAAGCAACAAUACAAGUUUCGAGUAUGAACAGACUUGCGUAACUGCCGUUGGCUCUGUUUCCUCUCCAUUCAGUCAACUGAGUUAAUCAUCUUAAUAAUUGUUUGCAAUCAAGUUCCCCCAUUAUGUGCUAUUUAAUUCAGCCUAUACCUUCUAUAUAUGUAGACUCUGGUGUAUAUAUAUGGUCACUGUGCUCCAGAGGAAAUGGCCCGUUUCUGCAUCUCCUUAUCUAACGAAAUCUUUCUGAAGUGAAGCAUCAACUCAUGGCGAAUUCCAAAAUCCACCUUUCCAUCUUUGAGUGCAUGGACCACAAUCUGUACCAGAUAACGCAAGAAAGGGAACAACGACCUUUCUCUGAGGGAAAAAUAAGUACUUUUAUGUCUCAGAUGCUUCAAGUCCUCGCACACAUGCAUAAAAAUAGUUAUUUCCAUCGGCAACUGAAACCAAAGAAUUUGCUGGUGACCAGCAAUAUCCUCAAGAUUGCUGACUUUGGACUGGCUUGCGAAGUUGCAUCUAUGCUUCCUCGAAAAUGUCUCACCAGUUUCAGGUAUGGUCUUGAAUAUUGAUACCUAAAACAAUCAAAACACUUCUUCUCUAUGCAGACCGUAGGGUUCCAGCUGAAAGUUUCGAGUGAAGAAAGCAAGAGGACAGCUUUGAAAAUACAAAGAGUGUAAAGGUAGGCUCAAGAAAUGAUAUGUAGAUGAUAGAGCACAAGUAGUGUAUUAUUAUUGUUUUUGAAGGAAUUACAAUCUCAGUAUUUCUAAUGACCUUGAGCCCAUUUACAAGAGAUUUCUCUCAGUGUUUCAUACAAUCCUAGAAAAUGGCCAACCCUAGAUGAAGAAGAUGAGUACGUUACAUAAGAUUCAGUUGUUGGCUAACUGAUUCUAACGUUUAAUCAACUGAGUCACCUUCACACAGUGCCAUGUCAGCUUCACUUUCAGCUCAUCAAUCAGCCUGAGUUACUUAUCCGUAGUGACCUGAAUUAAUAUUAAGCUAAUCGUCUCAUUGCUUAUUGGUAUUAUAUGAAUUCUUUGUAUAAUUAUGCUCACAUUCUUUUGAAGG
Molecule: RNA transcript, 1474 nt
Organism: Brassica oleracea var. oleracea
Lineage: Eukaryota; Viridiplantae; Streptophyta; Magnoliopsida; Brassicales; Brassicaceae
Gene name: serine/threonine-protein kinase MHK-like
Exons: 3
Source: RefSeq, a predicted model, not a curated record